RNAcentral lists this transfer-messenger RNA (253 nucleotides) under uncultured Bartonella sp. RNAcentral describes it as "partial ssrA". It matches the Rfam family "Alphaproteobacteria transfer-messenger RNA", at positions 86 to 331 of the family's 355-position model. From Rfam's summary of the family: Bacterial tmRNA, also known as 10Sa RNA or SsrA, is named for its dual tRNA and mRNA-like properties. Its role is to liberate the mRNA from a stalled ribosome. The record is from RNAcentral. Lineage: Bacteria; Pseudomonadati; Pseudomonadota; Alphaproteobacteria; Hyphomicrobiales; Bartonellaceae.
UUGGACCCGGGGGCGGUACCCGGCGCCUCCACCAAAGCAUAAGUUAUAUAAAUUAUGUUUUGGCGGGGGCGAAAUUAGGAUCGACAAGGGUGUAAAGAUUGAUCUUUUACUCGGUAUUGUACCACCGUUAUCGGACUAAAUUAAUAGUUGCAAAUGAUAACAACUAUGCGGAGGUUCGUCUUGCUGCUUAACGCGGUAAGUGGACUUCAGAUUUAAGUCUUAAACCGUCGCAGGUUUAAGCGGGGUUGGGAGG